RNAcentral lists this long non-coding RNA (707 nucleotides) under Rattus norvegicus (Norway rat). RNAcentral describes it as "long non-coding RNA NONRATT002202". Lineage: Eukaryota; Metazoa; Chordata; Mammalia; Rodentia; Muridae. The record is from RNAcentral.
UUAUAUGCCUUAAGAGUUCGUUUGUGAAAUGCUAUUCAUGUUGGUUUUGAUUUAGGCCACCCUUCUUGCUUGGAUAUGACCAUGGAGCUUGUUUCUAUGAUUAAGACCUACCCAUGGCAGUGUAUGGAAUGUAAGACAUGCAUUAUAUGUGGACAGCCCCACCAUGAAGAAGAAAUGAUGUUCUGUGAUGUGUGUGACAGAGGUUAUCAUACUUUUUGUGUGGGCCUUGGUGCUAUUCCAUCAGGUAAAGAUGAAAAAAACAAAACAAAACCCACAUUAUCUUGUAUGAAGAUCUCCCAGCAGUUUUUUAAGGCUGCAUAAAUGGCAGGAACAUGUUCCAAUUAUGCUCAAGCUGUUAUUGUCCAUGUCACAGAUACUUGAUUUUCAUCCUUGGGACCAAAGGACAAAUGAGAUGGCAAAAUGCCUAGUUUAGGUUUUGGGGGAAGUAUCAUUUGAGGUAUAGUAUGAACUGGUGUUUUCUACUAAAAUUACUAAAGUAACAGCACCAGUCUGUCUCAAUGGUUUGAUUUUAUUUUUAAAGAUUAUUUAUUAACAAAGUGACUGCUAUGUCUUUACAUAUGCUAAGACAUUUUUAUAAAGUGAGGCAGCAUGACAGUUCCAGAUAACUUUAGGAUGGCCACAGAUUCAAAUAGUAAAUCACAGUAAUUCUAUUAAAACAUUAUACAGGUCAAUAUGAAGAAUUUAGU